Molecule: ribosomal RNA, 1512 nt
Filed under: Psychrobacter sp. KJF3-27
Lineage: Bacteria; Pseudomonadati; Pseudomonadota; Gammaproteobacteria; Moraxellales; Moraxellaceae
Description: bacterial SSU rRNA
Rfam family: Bacterial small subunit ribosomal RNA
Source: RNAcentral
UAGAGUUUGAUCCUGGCUCAGAUUGAACGCUGGCGGCAGGCUUAACACAUGCAAGUCGAGCGGAAACGAUGAUAGCUUGCUAUCAGGCGUCGAGCGGCGGACGGGUGAGUAAUACUUAGGAAUCUACCUAGUAGUGGGGGAUAGCACGGGGAAACUCGUAUUAAUACCGCAUACGACCUACGGGAGAAAGGGGGCAGUUUACUGCUCUCGCUAUUAGAUGAGCCUAAGUCGGAUUAGCUAGAUGGUGGGGUAAAGGCCUACCAUGGCGACGAUCUGUAGCUGGUCUGAGAGGAUGAUCAGCCACACCGGGACUGAGACACGGCCCGGACUCCUACGGGAGGCAGCAGUGGGGAAUAUUGGACAAUGGGGGAAACCCUGAUCCAGCCAUGCCGCGUGUGUGAAGAAGGCCUUUUGGUUGUAAAGCACUUUAAGCAGUGAAGAAGACUCCGUGGUUAAUACCCACGGACGAUGACAUUAGCUGCAGAAUAAGCACCGGCUAACUCUGUGCCAGCAGCCGCGGUAAUACAGAGGGUGCAAGCGUUAAUCGGAAUUACUGGGCGUAAAGGGAGCGUAGGUGGCUCUAUAAGUCAGAUGUGAAAUCCCCGGGCUCAACCUGGGAACUGCAUCUGAAACUGUAGAGCUAGAGUAUGUGAGAGGAAGGUAGAAUUCCAGGUGUAGCGGUGAAAUGCGUAGAGAUCUGGAGGAAUACCGAUGGCGAAGGCAGCCUUCUGGCAUAAUACUGACACUGAGGCUCGAAAGCGUGGGUAGCAAACAGGAUUAGAUACCCUGGUAGUCCACGCCGUAAACGAUGUCUACUAGUCGUUGGGUCCCUUGAGGACUUAGUGACGCAGCUAACGCAAUAAGUAGACCGCCUGGGGAGUACGGCCGCAAGGUUAAAACUCAAAUGAAUUGACGGGGGCCCGCACAAGCGGUGGAGCAUGUGGUUUAAUUCGAUGCAACGCGAAGAACCUUACCUGGUCUUGACAUAUCUAGAAUCCUGCAGAGAUGCGGGAGUGCCUUCGGGAAUUAGAAUACAGGUGCUGCAUGGCUGUCGUCAGCUCGUGUCGUGAGAUGUUGGGUUAAGUCCCGCAACGAGCGCAACCCUUGUCCUUAGUUACCAGCGGGUUAAGCCGGGAACUCUAAGGAUACUGCCAGUGACAAACUGGAGGAAGGCGGGGACGACGUCAAGUCAUCAUGGCCCUUACGACCAGGGCUACACACGUGCUACAAUGGUAGGUACAGAGGGCAGCUACACAGCGAUGUGAUGCGAAUCUCAAAAAGCCUAUCGUAGUCCAGAUUGGAGUCUGCAACUCGACUCCAUGAAGUAGGAAUCGCUAGUAAUCGCGGAUCAGAAUGCCGCGGUGAAUACGUUCCCGGGCCUUGUACACACCGCCCGUCACACCAUGGGAGUUGAUUGCACCAGAAGUGGAUAGCUUAACCUUCGGGGAGGCGUUCACCACGGUGUGGUUGAUGACUGGGGUGAAGUCGUAACAAGGUAGCCGUAGGGGAACC